RNAcentral lists this transfer RNA (84 nucleotides) under Candidatus Woesearchaeota archaeon. RNAcentral describes it as "tRNA-Leu". It matches the Rfam family "tRNA". From Rfam's summary of the family: Transfer RNA (tRNA) molecules are approximately 80 nucleotides in length. Their secondary structure includes four short double-helical elements and three loops (D, anti-codon, and T loops). Further hydrogen bonds mediate the characteristic L-shaped molecular structure. tRNAs have two regions of fundamental functional importance: the anti-codon, which is responsible for specific mRNA codon recognition, and the 3' end, to which the tRNAs corresponding amino acid is attached (by aminoacyl-tRNA synthetases). tRNAs cope with the degeneracy of the genetic code in two manners: having more than one tRNA (with a specific anti-codon) for a particular amino acid; and 'wobble' base-pairing, i.e. permitting non-standard base-pairing at the 3rd anti-codon position. Lineage: Archaea; Nanobdellati; Candidatus Woesearchaeota. The record is from RNAcentral.
GCGGGGGUGCCGGAGUGGUCAAACGGGCCAGGUUGAGGGCCUGGUAGCCUUGUGCUUGCGCGUGUUCGAACCACGUCCCCCGCA